CUAAUAUUGUCCUUUUUAUUUUAAAGGUUGUUAAAGGAGAUGGGCUGGCAGGAAGAGAGUGAAAAUGAUGAAACAUGUGCUCCACUAACAGAGGAUGAGAUGAGGGAAUUCCAGGCCAUUAGUGAACAGUUACAAAAAAACGGCCUUCGGAAAAACGGCAUUUUGAAAAAUGGCCUUAUCUGUGAUUUUAAAUUUAGCCCCUGGAAAAAUAGCACUUUCCAACCUGCUCUGGAGAAUGAUGAUUCUGAGACAAGCAGCAGUGAUACAUCAGAUGAUGAUGAUGUGUGAAGAUUUCUGUAACAUCUGUAGAUGCUCGUUUUGUUCUCAUGAAAAUAUGGGGAUGUAUUGUUUAAAAACCAUCUUUAUGUAGUAACAUGCCUCAUUAGAGGAAGAUUGAUGGGACUUCUCUCUGAAGAAAGCAAGGAACAUUGUGUUGGGUGUGUCGAACAUUGCUAUAAUUUCUUUGUAAACAAAUGUUUUAGAAUGAGGACUUGGGUUGACCCAGCAUUGACUUUCUUCCUCACUGCAGCAUUUCUGACUAGCAGUGUGACAAUGUAACAAAUCAGACUUUCUCAAUUAAUAAUAAAAACAAAAAGAAUUGCAAUAUCUUGCAAAGCUUCUGUCUUAGUGUCCAAGUAUAGACUUGGGAAAAAAAAGGGCAGCUUAACACAGUUUUGCUUGUCAUUUCUUUCUUACAAUGGAAAUCCUCAAAUCCACUUUGUAUGCAAAAAGAGCAAUAUAGAGUGCUGUCUAAAAUGAGCGAAGUACACUAAAACUCUUUUCCUUAAUUGAACUGUUCUACUUCUUCCACACAUGAUUGUUCUUUAGCUAUUGUAGUGUAGUCAUUGUUAUUAAUGGCAAAAAGACCUGAUGUUACGGUUCCAAAUUCCUAGAAGUAACCUUUAAAUUGAAAGCUUUAUGGGUUAUUGCAAGACCCAAUAUGCCACAGUGAACACAUUCUUGUGGGAAAUAAGUACUUUGAAUUUACUAUUCACCGGCAGAAAAAUAAUUAAACUGACUGGAUUUGUCCACUACAUGGAAAAUAAACUGAUUUACAGAGUAUUGUCUCAGUGCAUAGCAUCAAGGGUAUUGUUUUUAAAUCUAGUAAGUUUUGUUUGCAUUUAUAUUAAAUGUACUCUAGCAGGAGUCAUUGCAUUUCAUAAUGACAUAAAGAUAUUUUUGUCACCAGCUCUUGCUUUGUAGCAGCAGACGUAUAUCUAUGCAAUAAGCAUUUGUUUUGAUUAUAUGUUUUCCACAAGGUUGUGCAAACUAUGUAGCAUUAAUCCAUGAGCACAACUGCUCUCAGUGAUGUCACAUACACUUAUAGUACAGCUUCUAUAGAUAUUCUUCUUCAAGAUAUUUUUGAAUUGCAAUACUUUUAAUAGUAAGUAAUUCACAAUUUUAAACUAAAGCAAAAAUAUUUAUCAAGAUGAGCUUUUGUCCAUGUUUAACUUUUUUAGGAAAAACCUUUUUUAAUAAGGUGACAUCUAACAAUUUUGGGCCAAAGAUGUAGUGUGUUUUUCUUUUUCCUUUUUAUUAGUUUAAAUAAGGGGGGUUAUUCAAUACAUCUUUUUUUUUUCUUUGAACAAACGUUCAAAUGUUGGUAUAGUUUAUUUUGGCACAAUGUUUUGAAAUAUGCCAUUUUGUUGUCUAAAUUUUAGAGGAUAAAAAUGUUUGGUUUUUUUGAAGAGAAAACUGCUGUAUCAGUAAUGAAGUCUUUCUACUUGUAUGCCUUAAACAUGUGUGAAAUAAUUGCCUGAGGUGACUUGGAAAUUAAACUGAUAUUCACAUUGUAAAGAAAA
This is a long non-coding RNA of Oxyura jamaicensis (ruddy duck), 1802 nucleotides long. RefSeq lists it as uncharacterized. The record is from RefSeq and is a predicted model, not a curated record. The transcript is spliced from 2 exons. NCBI's taxonomy places the organism in Eukaryota, Metazoa, Chordata, Aves, Anseriformes, Anatidae.